RNAcentral lists this ribosomal RNA (450 nucleotides) under Heikertingerella sp. IBE-JGZ-00992. Its description in RNAcentral is "partial 16S ribosomal RNA". Lineage: Eukaryota; Metazoa; Arthropoda; Insecta; Coleoptera; Chrysomelidae. The record is from RNAcentral.
UCUUUUUGACUAUAAUUUAAAGUCUAGUCUGCCCAAUGAUUAACUUGAAUGGCCGCAGUAUUUUAACUGUGCUAAGGUAGCAUAAUCAUUUGUUUUUUAAUUAAAAGCUAGAAUGAAGGGCUGGAUGAAAAAGUGGCUGUCUUUAGGUUAUAAAUAGAACUUUAUUUUUUAGUUCAAAAGCUUAAAUAAGAUUUAAAGACGAGAAGACCCUAUAGAGUUUUAUAUAUAAGUAUUUCUAGAUAUUUAGUAUUCUAAAUUUUUUAUAUUUAUAUAUUAAGUUGGGGUGAUUAAUAAAAUAACAAAUCUUUAUUUUUAUUUAAAUAUACUUAAAUAGAUGGUUGAUCCAAUAUUAUUUGAUUAUAAGGCUAAAUUACCUUAGGGAUAACAGCGUAAUUUUGUUAGAAAGUUCUUAUUGAUAGCAAAGAUUGCGACCUCGAUGUUGGAUUAAAA